RNAcentral lists this ribosomal RNA (253 nucleotides) under uncultured bacterium. RNAcentral's name for it is "partial 16S ribosomal RNA". It matches the Rfam family "Bacterial small subunit ribosomal RNA", at positions 524 to 776 of the family's 1533-position model. The record is from RNAcentral.
UACGUAGGGUGCGAGCGUUAAUCGGAAUUACUGGGCGUAAAGCGUGCGCAGGCGGUUUUGUAAGCCAGAUGUGAAAUCCCCGGGCUUAACCUGGGAAUUGCAUUUGUGACUGCACGGCUAGAGUGUGUCAGAGGGGGGUAGAAUUCCACGUGUAGCAGUGAAAUGCGUAGAUAUGUGGAGGAAUACCGAUGGCGAAGGCAGCCCCCUGGGAUAACACUGACGCUCAUGCACGAAAGCGUGGGGAGCAAACAGG